UGAGUACGAGAUGCUACGGCAUCGAAGCAGUCUAUGUCAUACUUCCAAGAAAAGCUUGCACUGUCAGAAACAGAUAAUGCCUGUACCAUAACCGACACAGGUGGGUAGGUAGAGUAUACUAAGGGGCGCGAGAUAACUCUCUCUAAGGAACUCGGCAAAAUGACUCCGUAACUUCGGGAGAAGGAGUGCCUUAUUUUUAAGGUUGCAAUAACAAGAUCCAAGCAACUGUUUACCAAAAACACAGGUCUCCGCUAAGUCGUAAGACGAUGUAUGGGGGCUGACGCCUGCCCAGUGCCAGAAGGUUAAAGAAGUCGGUUAGCAUUCGCGAAGCUGGUAACUGAAGCCCUGGUGAACGGCGGCCGUAACAAUAACGGUCCUAAGGUAGCGAAAUUCCUUGUCGGGUAAGUUCCGACCCGCACGAAAGGCGUAAUGAUUUGGAUACUGUCUCGGAGAGGGGCUCGGUGAAAUAGACUUGUCUGUGAAGAUGCGGACUACCUGCACCUGGACAGAAAGACCCUAUGAAGCUUUACUGUAACUUGAAAUUGAAAUUGGACUUUAUUUGCGCAGUAUAGGUGGGAGGCGUUGAAAAUAUUCUUGCGGGAAUAUUGGAGCCAUCAGUGAGAUACCACUCUUGUAAUGUUAGAUUUCUAACUUUAUAUCAUUAUCUGGUUAAAGAACAGUUUCAGGCGGGCAGUUUGACUGGGGCGGUCGCCUCCCAAAUGGUAACGGAGGCGCACAAAGGUUUCCUCUGAACGGGUAGAAAUCGUAUCUAGAGUGUAAAGGCAUAAGGAAGCUUGACUGUGAGACCUACAAGUCGAGCAGGGACGAAAGUCGGUCUUAGUGAUCUGACGGUGCUGAGUGGAAAGGCCGUCACUCAACGGAUAAAAGUUACUCUAAGGAUAACAGGCUGAUCUCCCCCAAGAGUUCACAUCGACGGGGAGGUUUGGCACCUCGAUGUCGGCUCAUCGCAUCCUGGGGCGGUAGUACGUCCCAAGGGUUGGGCUGUUCGCCCAUGAAAGCGGUACGCGAGCUGGGUUCAGAACGUCGUGAGACAGUUCGGUCCAUAUCCGGUGUAGGCGUUAGAAUAUUGAGAGGAGCCUUCUUUAGUACGAGAGGACCGAGAAGGACAUACCUCUGGUGUACCAGUUAUCGUGCCAACGGUAAACGCUGGGUAGCUAUGUAUGGAGUGGAUAACCGCUGAAAGCAUCUAAGUGGGAAGCCCACCUCAAGAUAAG
Molecule: ribosomal RNA, 1235 nt
Filed under: metagenome
Description: bacterial LSU rRNA
Rfam family: Bacterial large subunit ribosomal RNA
Source: RNAcentral